AAUCUGCAGCCUUGGAACUGCCCUUAGUUUAAUUAGUACUGAGGGUAUGUUUGGCUUUGCAGAAAAAGCAUCUAAUUGGGGAAGCCGAGGCAAGACUGUAAAAAGAAGCAGCAGCUCUUUGUGCAAUGUUCCUCUGACAUAUCUAAUACUGUUGCCACGGAGUUAAUGACAAGUCCAGUGUCAUUAGCCAUCUAUCAACAGUAAGAUUGAAUUUGCUGUAUGAUAUUGUUCAGCAAAUGGAGUGUUUCUGCUGAGUACUGAAAACUGCUACAUAU
This 275-nucleotide small nucleolar RNA is filed under the name Pogona vitticeps (central bearded dragon). Lineage: Eukaryota; Metazoa; Chordata; Lepidosauria; Squamata; Agamidae. The record is from RNAcentral.